AUUGAACGCUGGCGGCAUGCUUUACACAUGCAAGUCGAACGGCAGCGCGGGCUUCGGCCUGGCGGCGAGUGGCGAACGGGUGAGUAAUGCAUCGGAACGUGCCCAGUCGUGGGGGAUAGCCCGGCGAAAGCCGGAUUAAUACCGCAUACGACCUGAGGGUGAAAGCGGGGGACCGAAAGGCCUCGCGCUAUUGGAGCGGCCGAUGUCGGAUUAGCUAGUUGGUUGGGUAAAGGCUUACCAAGGCGACGAUCCGUAGCUGGUCUGAGAGGACGACCAGCCACACUGGAACUGAGACACGGCCCAGACUCCUACGGGAGGCAGCAGUGGGGAAUUUUGGACAAUGGGGGCAACCCUGAUCCAGCCAUGCCGCGUGCGGGAAGAAGGCCUUCGGGUUGUAAACCGCUUUUGUUCGGGAAGAAAUCCUCUGGGCUAAUACCCCGGGGGGAUGACGGUACCGGAAGAAUAAGCACCGGCUAACUACGUG
This 484-nucleotide ribosomal RNA is filed under the name uncultured bacterium. Its description in RNAcentral is "partial 16S ribosomal RNA". It matches the Rfam family "Bacterial small subunit ribosomal RNA", at positions 28 to 507 of the family's 1533-position model. The record is from RNAcentral.